GAUGAACGCUGGCGGCGUGCCUAAUACAUGCAAGUCGAGCGAACGGACGAGAAGCUUGCUUUUCUGAUGUUAGCGGCGGACGGGUGAGUAACACGUGGAUAACCUACCUAUAAGACUGGGAUAACUUCGGGAAACCGGAGCUAAUACCGGAUAAUAUUUUGAACCGCAUGGUUCAAAAGUGAAAGACGGUCUUGCUGUCACUUAUAGAUGGAUCCGCGCUGCAUUAGCUAGUUGGUAAGGUAACGGCUUACCAAGGCAACGAUGCAUAGCCGACCUGAGAGGGGGAUAGGCAACACUGGAGCGGAAACACGGUCAAGACGACUAAGGGAGGCAGCAGUAGGGAAUCUUACGCAAUGGGCGAAAGAAUGACGGAGCAAGGCCGCGUGAGUGAUGAAGGUCUUCGGAUCGUAAAACUCUGUUAUGAGGGAAGAACAUAUGUGGAAGUAACUGUGCACAUAGUGACGGUACCUAAUCAGAAAGCCACGGCUAACUACGUG
This 497-nucleotide ribosomal RNA is filed under the name uncultured bacterium. RNAcentral describes it as "partial 16S ribosomal RNA". It matches the Rfam family "Bacterial small subunit ribosomal RNA", at positions 28 to 507 of the family's 1533-position model. The record is from RNAcentral.